RNAcentral lists this ribosomal RNA (255 nucleotides) under uncultured bacterium. RNAcentral's name for it is "partial 16S ribosomal RNA". It matches the Rfam family "Archaeal small subunit ribosomal RNA", at positions 474 to 727 of the family's 1478-position model. The record is from RNAcentral.
UACCAGCACCCCCGAGUGGUCGGGACGAUUAUUGGGCCUAAAGCAUCCGUAGCCGGCCUUACAAGUCCUCCGUUAAAUCCAGCUGCUUAACAGAUGGGCUGCGGAGGAUACUAUAAGACUAGGAGGCAGGAGAGGCAAGCGGUACUCAGUGGGUAGGGGUAAAAAUCCGUUGAUCCAUUGAAGACCACCAGUGGCGAAGGCGGCUUGCCAGAAUGCGCUCGACGGUGAGGGAUGAAAGCUGGGGGAGCAAACCGG